GUUAGGAAUAUUGGACAAUGGGCGAAAGCCUGAUCCAGCCAUGCCGCGUGAACGAUGAAGGCCUUCGGGUUGUAAAGUUCUUUAGCCGAUGAUUAUAAUGACUGUAGUCGGAAAAUAAGCCCCGGCUAACUUCGUGCCAGCAGCCGCGGUAAUACGAAGGGGGCGAGCGUUAUUCGGAAUCACUGGGCGUAAAGCGUGCGUAGGCGGUUUUGUAAGUUAGGAGUGAAAGCCCAGGGCUCAACCUUGGAAUUGCUCUUAAAACUGCAAGGCUCGAAUCUCGGAGAGGAUAGCGGAAUUUCCAGUGUAGCAGUGAAAUGCGUAGAUAUUGGAAGGAACACCAGUGGCGUAAGCGGCUAUCUGGACGAGUAUUGACGCUGAGGCACGAAAGCGUGGGGAUCAAACAGGAUUAGAAACCCUAGUAGUC
This 424-nucleotide ribosomal RNA is filed under the name uncultured bacterium. RNAcentral's name for it is "partial 16S ribosomal RNA". It matches the Rfam family "Bacterial small subunit ribosomal RNA", at positions 354 to 795 of the family's 1533-position model. The record is from RNAcentral.